RNAcentral lists this ribosomal RNA (468 nucleotides) under uncultured bacterium. Its description in RNAcentral is "partial 16S ribosomal RNA". The stretch from base 58 to 468 matches the Rfam family "Bacterial small subunit ribosomal RNA", at positions 39 to 507 of the family's 1533-position model. The record is from RNAcentral.
GGGGGGGGGGGGGGGGGGGCGGGGGGGGGGGGGGGGGGGGGGGGGGGGGGGGGGGGGGGGGGGGGCUCGGGGGGCGAGCGGGUGAGUGACACGUGGGUACCCUGCCCUUGACUUUGGGAGAGCUUCCGGGACCUGGGGCUACUACCGGAUAGGCGCUCCUGCUGCAUGGUGGGGGGUGGACGGUUUCGGCGGUUGGGGAUGGACUCGCGGCUUAUCCGCUUGUUGGUGGGGUAGUGGCUUACCAAGGCGUUGACGGGUCGCCGGCCUGAGAGGUUGACCGGCCACAUUGGGACUGAGAUACGGCCCAGACUCCUACGGGAGGCAGCAGUGGGGAAUAUUGCACAAUGGGCGGAAGCCUGAGGCAGCAACGCCGCGUGCGGGAUGACGGCCUUCGGGUUGUAAACCGCUUUCGCCUGUGACGAAGCGUGAGUGACGGUAAUGGGUAAAGAAGCACCGGCUAACUACGUG